RNAcentral lists this ribosomal RNA (405 nucleotides) under uncultured bacterium. Its description in RNAcentral is "bacterial SSU rRNA". It matches the Rfam family "Bacterial small subunit ribosomal RNA", at positions 30 to 438 of the family's 1533-position model. The record is from RNAcentral.
AUUGAACGCUGGCGGCAUGCCUUACACAUGCAAGUCGAACGGCAGCACGGGAGCAAUCCUGGUGGCGAGUGGCGAACGGGUGAGUAAUAUAUCGGAACGUGCCCGGUCGUGGGGAUAACGUAGCGAAAGUUACGCUAAUACCGCAUACGAUCUAAGGAUGAAAGCGGGGGAUCGCAAGACCUGCGCGAUUGGAGCGGCCGAUAUCAGAUUAGGUAGUUGGUGGGGUAAAGGCUCACCAAGCCAACGAUCUGUAGCUGGUCUGAGAGGAUGAUCAGUCACACUGGAACUGAGACACGGUCCAGACUCCUACGGAGGCAGCAGUGGGGAAUAAUUGGACAAUGGGCGAAAGCCUGAUCAGCCAUGCGCGUGUGUGAAGAAAGGUCUUCGGAUUGUAAAGCACUUAAG